UGGUCAAGCUACUAAGGGCACUCGGUGGAUGCCUUGGCGUCAGGAGGCGAUGAAGGACGUGGUUAGCUGCGAUAAGCCAUGGUGAGCCGCAAGCAGGCGUCGACCCAUGGAUGUCCGAAUGGGGAAACCCACUCCGGGUCAUGCCGGAGGAGCUCGCCGGUGAAUACAUAGCCGGCGAGUGGCCAACCAGGGGAAUUGAAACAUCUCAGUACCCUGAGGAAAAGAAAUCAAGCCAGAGAUUCCGCAAGUAGUGGCGAGCGAACGCGGAAGAGCCCAAACCGGGGGUCUAAACCACCUCCGGGGUUGUAGGGCCGCCGACGUGGGACCUCGAGCCGUAGUCGAAAGGCCUGGAAAGGCCUGCCAGAGGGGGUGAAAGCCCCGUAGACGAAACGGCGAGAGGCCCUAGGCGGUACCUGAGUACCACGGGGCCCGAGUAACCCUGUGGGAACCUGGGAGGACCAUCUUCCAAGGCUAAAUACUACCUGACGACCGAUAGCGAACCAGUACCGUGAGGGAAAGGCGAAAAGAACCCCCGCGAGGGGAGUGAAAAGAACCUGAAACCGAGUGUCUACAAGCCGUGAGCGCACUAUGCCCCUUCGGGGGAAUGUGCAAUCGCGUGCCUUUUGCAUAAUGAGCCUGCGAGUUACGAUGUCCGGCGAGGUUAAGUCGAGAGACGAAGCCGUAGCGAAAGCGAGUCUGAAGUGGGCGUCAAGUCGGACGACGUAGACCCGAAACCCGGCGAUCUAUCCAUGGCCAGGAUGAAGGGCGGGUAACACCGCCUGGAGGUCCGAACUCACUGACGUUGAAAAGUCAGGGGAUGAGCUGUGGAUCGGAGUGAAAGGCUAAUCAAGCUGGGUGAUAGCUGGUUCUCGCCGAAAUAUAUUUAGGUAUAGCCUCGGAGCUUCUGUGACGGAGGUAGAGCACUGGAUGGGCUAGGGGUCCUACCAGAUUACCAAACCCAACCAAACUCCGAAUGCCGUCAACUGUGACUCCGGGAGUCAGGCGUCGGGAGCUAAGUUCCGGCGCCGAGAGGGAAAGAGCCCAGAUCGUCAGCUAAGGUCCCCAAAUCGAUGCUAAGUGGCAAAGGAUGUGGGAGCGCUUAGACAACCAGGAGGUUGGCUUAGAAGCAGCCAUCCUUUAAAGAAAGCGUAAUAGCUCACUGGUCAAGCGAACCUGCGCCAAAAAUGUAACGGGGCUGAAGCAUCGUACCGAAGCUACGGGUUGGACGUCACCUGCGGGUGGCGACAGCGGUAGGCGAGCAUUCCAGUUGCAGCGAAGGUGGACGGUAACGACCGCUGGAGCGACUGGAAGAGCUUAUGCAGGCUUGAGUAGCGACAAAACGUGUGAGAAACACGUUCGCCGAAAGCCCAAGGGUUCCUGGGUAAAGUUAAUCUUCCCAGGGUUAGUCGGACCCUAAGCCGAGGCCGAGAGGCGUAGGUGAUGGGUAGCAGGUUAAUAUUCCUGCACCACUACGGAAGUUUUCGCAGGAGGGACGAAGAAGGGCAGCGGAUCCGGGUUGAUGGAUUGCCCGGUUCAAACCCGUAGGCGGACCGCUUUGGAGGCCUCGUGCCACAAACGGGUGGUCAACGCCGAGAGGUGAAGAGGAGAGCGCUUUGCGCUCACGAACUCCGUGAUCCCAGGCUUCCGAGAAAAGCUCCGGCGGAGCUAACUUCUGUGGUGACCGUACCGGAAACCGACACAGGUGGGCGGGGAGAGAAUCCCAAGGCGCUUGAGAGAACCCUCCUUAAGGAACUCGGCAAAAUGACACCGUAACUUCGGGAGAAGGUGUGCCCUCGGUACGUGAAGCUGAACAAGCGGAGCGGAAGAGGGUUGCAGAGAAACGGGGGUAGCGACUGUUUACCAAAAACCCAGCACUCUGCGAAGUCGCAAGACGACGUAUAGGGUGUGAUGCCUGCCCGGUGCCGGAAGGUUAAGGGGAGCUGUCAGCCGCAAGGCAAAGCAGCGAACCGAAGCCCCGGUAAACGGCGGCCGUAACUAUAACGGUCCUAAGGUAGCGAAAUUCCUUGUCGGGUAAGUUCCGACCUGCACGAAUGGCAUAACGACUUCCCCACUGUCUCGAGGAGGGACUCAGCGAAGUAGCACUAGGGGUGAAGAUACCCUUUACCUGCGGCAAGACGGAAAGACCCCGUGAACCUUUACUGCAACUUGGCACUGAUCUUCGGGUUCGUUUGCGUAGGAUAGGUGGGAGGCUAUGAAAUCGGGACUCUGGUCUCGAUGGAGCCAACGUUGAAAUACCACCCUGACGUAUCUGGAGAUCUAACCUGCACCCGUGAGCCGGGUGGGGGACAAUGCCUGGUGGGCAGUUUGACUGGGGCGGUCGCCUCCCAAAACGUAACGGAGGCGCGCGAAGGUUCCCUCAGCCUGAUUGGAAACCAGGCGGCGAGUGUAAUGGCAUAAGGGAGCUUGACUGCGAGACUGACAAGUCGAGCAGGUGGGAAACCAGGUCAUAGUGAUCCGGUGGUUCCAGAUGGAAGGGCCAUCGCUCAACGGAUAAAAGGUACUCCGGGGAUAACAGGCUUAUCACUCCCAAGAGUUCACAUCGACGGAGUGGUUUGGCACCUCGAUGUCGGCUCAUCGCAUCCUGGGGCUGAAGUUGGUCCCAAGGGUUUGGCUGUUCGCCAAUUAAAGCGGUACGCGAGCUGGGUUCAAAACGUCGUGAGACAGUUUGGUCCCUAUCUGCCGUGGGCGUAGGAUACUUGAGAGGAUCUGUCCUUAGUACGAGAGGACCGGGAUGGACGGACCGCUAGUGAACCGGUUGUGGCGCCAGCUGCAUCGCCGGGUAGCUAUGUCCGGACGGGAUAACCGCUGAAAGCAUCUAAGCGGGAAGCCUCCCUCGAGAUAAGGUAUCCCUGAGCUUCGGCUCCUGAAGACCCCAUGUAGACCACGUGGUUGAUAGGCCGGGUGUGGAAGCGGAGUAAUCCGCGGAGCUAACCGGUACUAAUCGGUCGUGAGGCUUGGCCAC
Molecule: ribosomal RNA, 2983 nt
Filed under: Betaproteobacteria bacterium RIFCSPLOWO2_12_FULL_64_23
Lineage: Bacteria; Pseudomonadati; Pseudomonadota; Betaproteobacteria
Description: bacterial LSU rRNA
Rfam family: Bacterial large subunit ribosomal RNA
Source: RNAcentral